RNAcentral lists this ribosomal RNA (1350 nucleotides) under Triticum aestivum (bread wheat). Its description in RNAcentral is "partial small subunit ribosomal RNA". The record is from RNAcentral. Lineage: Eukaryota; Viridiplantae; Streptophyta; Magnoliopsida; Poales; Poaceae.
AUGGCACUUGCAGCAGGUGUCCUAAAAAUAGUUGCACCUCAACCCGGAGCUAUUUAUCCCACCCACGUACUUCUUGCCAUGGUUCUACUGACCAUCACCGCAAGUAUCUACCUUGCACUCCGUCGUAAAACUGUAUACCUUGUUGACUACGCUUGCUUCCGGCCAAGUUUCAACCUAAGAUGCCCAAAGGCAACCUUCCUCGAGCAUGCACAUCUCUCAUCUUUGCUUGAUGAUUCUAGUGUCAACUUCAUAGGAAAUGUUCUCAAGCGCUCAGGAAUGAGCGAUGAGACAUGUGUCCCGCCUGUACUUCACUAUAUAGAGCCAUAUUGUGGGCUUUACGAAGCACGUGCCGAAGCAGAGUCGAUUGUCUUCUCGGUGACCGAUGAUCUUUUGGCCAAGACAUGGAUCAAUCGUGAUGCGAUCGGUGUUCUUAUCACCACCUCGAGUAUAUUUUGUCCGAUACCAUCUAUUGCUGACAUGAUUGUGAAUAGAUACAAGUUAAGAGGUGAUCUUCGUGUAAUGAACCUCUCAGGAAUGGCAUGCUCUGCAUCAGUGACGGCAGUGGGGCUCGCAAGCAAUAUGUUGCAGGUCAUGCCUUGGGGGUCGCAUGCAUUGAUAGUGUCAACAGAGACCACUGGGCCGUGCCACUAUCAAGGGAAUACACGCUCCAUGCAGUUGCCUAACAUCUUAUUCCGCACAGGUGGAGUGGCGAAGUUGUUGUCGACUUCUAGGUCAAAAGCUCGGUUUGAGCUUGCGCAUGUCACGCGGAUAAUCACUGCGGCAAACAACUCCGCGUACCGAUGUGCAUAUCAGGAGGAAGAUGAGAAGGGCAUCCUAGGGACACGUCUCACUAAAGACCUUAUGGUUGUUGCUGGAGACGCACUCAAGGACAAUCUCACUACAAGCGGGCCACUUGUACUGCCGACAGCAGAGCUUCUCAAGUUUUUUCUUUUUGACAUUGCUGGAAAGGUGCUCUAUUGGAGGAAGAUUAGACCAUACAUCCCCAACUUCUGUGUUGCAUUUGAACAUAUAUGCAUCCACGUAGGUGGACCUGCGGUUAUCAGCUCAAUACAGCGUGGCCUCAAUCUAUCAGACAAACACGUUGAACCGUCACGAAUGACACUAUAUCGCUUUGGAAACCAGUCGGCCGCAUCAGUGUGGUAUGAGUUGGCAUACAUCGACGCUAAAGGCCUAAUGAAGAAAGGCGACAGGGUGUGGAUGAUCGGAUUUGGUGCAGGGUACGAGUGCAACACCGCUAGUUGGGUGUGUAUACAACCAUCUUCCUGCGCGGAUGGACCCUGGGCUAACUGCAUCAAUUGCUACCCUGUGGAUAUCUCUAGAAAAGCUUAA